GACUGUAGGCGUCAGUGAUAUGUGUUAAACUGUACAUAGGAUGAAUCUUUUAGAGAUGGCUUUCCAAUAGCGACUACGCAAGUUCGUUGCGAAACGUGAAUUUAAGUUUCGAAGAACGUGGUAUGAAGGUUGAAAUAUUUCAAGCUCGAACUAUCCAGUUCAGAGUCGAUGACUUUCCGCUGGCGAAUAAAUCGAGAAAAAGAUUGGAAAUUAUAGACAGACUAUCGAUUAUUGCCGAAAAUAAUCGAAGGCCAAGAAUACGGAAGAUAAUAUUUCAAGCCGGACGCUAAAUCAACCUUCUACGUUUGUUCGUCGCUUUCUGUAAAUGGGAAAAGUAAAGGAAAUGAAUAAACGAGCUUCGUACGAGAAAACGUGACGAGCGGACGCCAAGAUAAACGUAAAUGAUCACUCGAUAGCUUGCGAGGAACGAGCAGGAUGUAUAAAAACAUGGAAUUUCUUGAAAAAACGUUUGAUCCAACAAUCGGUAACUCGAUAUGUAUAGAUAUAUUUGAAGAAACACUUGAUAACACGAAAUAAUUUAUACUUUGUUUCAACUCGAGUCCAAUCUGCUCAUAAAUUAGAAUAAUAAAUCGCAAGAAUAAAUCUUCAUAAAUC
This is a long non-coding RNA of Bombus impatiens (common eastern bumble bee), 615 nucleotides long. RefSeq lists it as uncharacterized. NCBI's taxonomy places the organism in Eukaryota, Metazoa, Arthropoda, Insecta, Hymenoptera, Apidae. The transcript has 2 exons. The record is from RefSeq and is a predicted model, not a curated record.